AUUGAACGCUGGCGGCAUGCUUUACACAUGCAAGUCGAACGGUAACAGGCCUUCGGGUGCUGACGAGUGGCGAACGGGUGAGUAAUGCAUCGGAACGUACCCAGAGGUGGGGGAUAACGCAGCGAAAGCUGUGCUAAUACCGCAUGUGAUCUGAGGAUGAAAGCGGGGGACCGAGCAGCAAUGUUUGGCCUCGCGCCUUUGGAGCGGCCGAUGUCGGAUUAGCUAGUUGGUGGUGUAAAGGCCUACCAAGGCGACGAUCCGUAGCUGGUCUGAGAGGACGACCAGCCACAGUGGGACUGAGACACGGCCCAGACUCCUACGGGAGGCAGCAGUGGGGAAUUUUGGACAAUGGGCGCAAGCCUGAUCCAGCAAUGCCGCGUGCGGGAAGAAGGCCUUCGGGUUGUAAACCGCUUUUGGCAGGAACGAAACGGUGUCCGCUAAUACCGGGCGCUAAUGACGGUACCUGCAGAAUAAGCACCGGCUAACUACGUG
RNAcentral lists this ribosomal RNA (492 nucleotides) under uncultured bacterium. RNAcentral's name for it is "partial 16S ribosomal RNA". It matches the Rfam family "Bacterial small subunit ribosomal RNA", at positions 30 to 507 of the family's 1533-position model. The record is from RNAcentral.